Molecule: long non-coding RNA, 1391 nt
Organism: Lontra canadensis (Northern American river otter)
Lineage: Eukaryota; Metazoa; Chordata; Mammalia; Carnivora; Mustelidae
Exons: 3
Source: RefSeq, a predicted model, not a curated record
CAUCCCGCUAUCCAGCUCUCUCCUGACGCCCACCUCAACCCGGAGUCGCUCCUCCUGCCGUCACCCAAGCCCCAGAACCACAGCCCUCUCCUUGCAGCGUUCAGGAAAACCUCCUCUCUGUCAGCCAGCCUGCACUUCCGGAAAGCCGGGCACUUCCGGAAAGCCAGGCACUUCCGGGAUCCGGGGCACUGUGGGAUAGCGGAGGACUGACCUCUGGUCGCCCGUAGGAGGCAUUCCCAUCACGUUCCGAGAGUCUCCAGGGGCAGCCCUGUGGUCCGGCGGUCCCUGCCUGCCUUCAGCUCUCCUUAACAUGAUGGGGUCCGGCUUCACCUCGCCGAGGGCGCGCCCCCCACUGAAGGCCCCGGUGUUGAGGAGGGCCUGGCUGCCCUGGCAGGACCCCCAGUGAGGGUUUAUGUGUGCGCUGCUCUGUUGGCCAGAACCCCAACAGUAGAGUAUUCAACAGCAGCAGAUUGGAAUGAACGUGGUUCUUAAAAUUGAAAUAGAAGAAAACAUAUAAAGAGGAGCCAGUUGAGCCACAGAUGCUGCAUAAAGAAACAGUGGACUUGGAACACACAAAAGAAGGAAAGUGGCAGAGUCUUGACUAGCAAGUGCUUCCUGUCCUUCACAUUGCAACUCCUUAAGAGCUGUACAGACAACUUCUUGCAUAGGGACUAGAUGGGUUCCCACGACUUAAAAGUGUUAGCAUCCUUGGUCCGUCCGCUGAUCCCUAAGGAGAGAAGGCAGGGAAGACUGGUAACCACUUAUCCCUCUGGAAAAGCUGGAGCUGGAGGUGGUUGGGAUAAAUAGGUAGGGAAUAGAAAGCGGAAUGCAUAAGCAUUUGUUUUGGAGACCAUGAAAAGUUUUCCUUAGCUGUCCUUUGUCCACAUGCAAAUGUGAAAAUACAGAAAGCUUUGUAUUUGCCGGAUAUCUUGCUACCAUACUGAAGUGUCUUUUUCAGUUCACCAAGUAUGUUAGCAGUGAAUUUGGGAGUUAGAAAUGUUACCCUAAUUGGAAGAAAUUUCAGAUUUUCCUUUGGGUAUUCCGUUUCCUUAAUGUUGAUUAAAUCCUUCAACAGUAUGUAAGAUGUUAAAAGCUGUGUUUAUGUCUGCUUCUACAUCAGUAACUGCCGUGUUAGAGAAAUGUAAUUGACAUCUAAUUGCAAUCAUCUGUUAAUCUUUUAAAAGUCACAGAAUCAUAAGAAUUUAGAACUGGAAGAACCUUAAAGAGCUUUUGGUUUAGCCUCUUCCUUUCACAAAUCAGUAAACAGUGGCUCAGAGAGGCUGAGCCCCACUAUUUCAGACAGUCCUCUUACAGGGCUUUCCUCAGGAUUUUGCAUGGUGAUGAUGGGCAGAGACCCACAGAGCCUUCCAAUCGCAGUAGGCAUAAGUGAA